GAUGAACGCUGACAGAACGCUUAACACAUGCAAGUCAACUUGAACUUCGGUUUGGGUGGCGGACGGGUGAGUAACGCGUAAAGAACUUGCCUCACAGUUAGGGACAACAUUUGGAAACGAAUGCUAAUACCUGAUAUUAUGAUUUUAGGGCAUCCUAGGAUUAUGAAAGCUAUAUGCACUGUGAGAGAGCUUUGCGUCCCAUUAGCUAGUUGGAGAGGUAACGGCUCACCAAGACGAUGAUGUUUAGCCGGGCCGAGAGGCUGUACGGCCACACUGGGACUGAGAUACGGCCCAGACUCCUACGGGAGGCAGCAGUAAGGAAUUUUCCACAAUGAGCGAAAGCUUGAUGGAGCGACACAGCGUGCAGGAUGAAGUUCUUCGGAAUGUAAACUGCUGUUAUAAGGGAAGAAAAAAUAGAAUAGGAAAUGAUUUUAUCUUGACGGUACCUUAUUAGAAAGCGACGGCAAACUAUGUGCCAGCAGCUGCGGUAAUACAUAGGUCGCAAGCGUUAUCCGGAAUUAUUGGGCGUAAAGCGUCCGUAGGUUUUUUGCUAAGUCUGGAGUUAAAUGCUGAAGCUCAACUUCAGUCCGCUUUGGAUACUGGCAAAAUAGAAUUAUAAAGAGGUUAGCGGAAUUCCUAGUGAAGCGGUGGAAUGCGUAGAUAUUAGGAAGAACACCAAUAGGCGAAGGCAGCUAACUGGUUAUAUAUUGACACUAAAGGGACGAAAGCGUGGGGAGCAAACAGG
This 745-nucleotide ribosomal RNA is filed under the name Anoxybacillus kestanbolensis. Its description in RNAcentral is "bacterial SSU rRNA". It matches the Rfam family "Bacterial small subunit ribosomal RNA", at positions 28 to 776 of the family's 1533-position model. The record is from RNAcentral. Lineage: Bacteria; Bacillati; Bacillota; Bacilli; Caryophanales; Anoxybacillaceae.